UAGCCUUGACAUAUUAUAGAAUUCAGUAGAGAUACAGAAGUGCCUUCGGGAGCUAUAUUACAGGUGCUGCACGGCUGUCGUCAGCUCGUGUCGUGAGAUGUUGGGUUAAGUCCCGCAACGAGCGCAACCCUCGUCACUAGUUACUAACGGUUAGGCCGAGGACUCUAGUGAGACUGCCUUCGUAAGGAGGAGGAAGGUGAGGACGACGUCAAGUCAUCAUGGCCCUUACGGCUAGGGCAACACACGUGCUACAAUGGUUAGGACAAUGAGAAGCAAUAUCGCGAGGUGGAGCAAAUCUAUAAACCUAAUCUCAGUUCGGAUUGUAGUCUGCAACUCGACUACAUGAAGCUGGAAUCACUAGUAAUCGUAGAUCAGCUAUGCUACGGUGAAUACGUUAAACGGGUCU
This 406-nucleotide ribosomal RNA is filed under the name uncultured bacterium. RNAcentral's name for it is "bacterial SSU rRNA". It matches the Rfam family "Bacterial small subunit ribosomal RNA", at positions 976 to 1372 of the family's 1533-position model. The record is from RNAcentral.